Molecule: transfer RNA, 71 nt
Filed under: Marmota monax (woodchuck)
Lineage: Eukaryota; Metazoa; Chordata; Mammalia; Rodentia; Sciuridae
Description: tRNA.Ala
Rfam family: tRNA (bases 6-66)
About the family: Transfer RNA (tRNA) molecules are approximately 80 nucleotides in length.
Source: RNAcentral
GAGACUGUGGCUUAGUGGUAGAGUGCUCGCCUAGCAUGUGUGAGGCACUGGGUUCGAUCCUCAGCAUUACG